AUUGAACGCUGGCGGCAUGCCUUACACAUGCAAGUCGAACGGCAGCAUGGAGAGCUUGCUCUCUGAUGGCGAGUGGCGAACGGGUGAGUAAUGCAUCGGAACGUACCGUGUAAUGGGGGAUAACGUAGCGAAAGUUACGCUAAUACCGCAUACGACCUGAGGGUGAAAGCAGGGGAUCGCAAGACCUUGCGUUAUACGAGCGGCCGAUGUCAGAUUAGCUAGUUGGUGGGGUAAAGGCUCACCAAGGCGACGAUCUGUAGCGGGUCUGAGAGGAUGAUCCGCCACACUGGGACUGAGACACGGCCCAGACUCCUACGGGAGGCAGCAGUGGGGAAUUUUGGACAAUGGGGGCAACCCUGAUCCGGCCAUGCCGCGUGAGUGAAGAAGGCCUUCGGGUUGUAAAGCUCUUUCGGCCGGGAAGAAAUCGCACAGGCUAAUACUCUGUGUGGAUGACGGUACCGGCAUAAGAAGCACCGGCUAACUACGUGCCAGCCGCCGCGGUAA
RNAcentral lists this ribosomal RNA (504 nucleotides) under uncultured bacterium. RNAcentral describes it as "partial 16S ribosomal RNA". It matches the Rfam family "Bacterial small subunit ribosomal RNA", at positions 30 to 523 of the family's 1533-position model. The record is from RNAcentral.